Molecule: unclassified non-coding RNA, 3190 nt
Filed under: Leishmania donovani
Lineage: Eukaryota; Euglenozoa; Kinetoplastea; Trypanosomatida; Trypanosomatidae
Description: gene:LdHU3.07.0800(CDS-product:electron_transfer_ flavoprotein-ubiquinone_oxidoreductase_putative)
Source: RNAcentral
ACUUGCGCACGGAGACCUCCUCCUCUCUCACGGAGAGAGCACACACGCCGAACACACACGCGCCCCAUCGCAGACGGCCACGAGGACACGAACGAGACGACGGUGAUUUCUCUCGCUGUUUUCACCUCCUCUGCUUCUUCCUUUUCUUUCGCUGCUCCUCCAUCGCCGUGCGCCGCCCACGCCGCAUCUCGUUGGCCCCCCCCCUUACGCGCGCUCUUCUUUGCUGUCUUGCUUCACGAGUCACUUAACCGCAAUACAUGCACACAUACACGCGCUGGCGCAAGCACCCGUCACACCCUUACCGACGCACCCCAUCCACGCACCCCAUCCACGCACCCCAUCCACGCCUCGCAGCGACACCUUCGCGUACGUGUGCCGUUCUCUUCCUCUUUGCUUUCUCUUGCUCGCUCGCCUACGUUGUGUGUGUCUCGACGUCUUGCCUCUUCUUGUGGCUCUCAGGCUUCACAAAUCGUUGUCUUCGUCUCUCUUUCCGUCCCUCUACCUCGAACCCGCGCUUCCGUGGUGCACACACGCACACACACACACACACACACACGCUCACGCGCUGCGCAUCAUUUGUCGGAUAACACAUCUGUGCUGCGUCAUCAUGCUGCGCUGGACCUCGCGCUACUUGUGUGCCUCCGCUGCUGCGGCUGCGGGGUCUGAGGUGCACCGCGACGUCGAGGAGUUUGCCGUUGUCAUUGUCGGCGGUGGCCCUUCGGGACUCUCCGCUGCCAUUCGGCUGAAGCAGCUCGCCGGGGACCAGAGGGACUCUUUCCGCGUCGGCCUCGUCGAAAAGGGCAGCGAGAUCGGCGCCCACACGCUCUCCGGCGCCUGUGUGGAGCCUCACGGGUUGGAUGAGCUGCUGCCUGGGUGGCGUGAGCAGGAGGGAUCCAUUCUUUCCAGCAUGACACCCGUCACGUCUGACGCUUUCCAUGUGCUGACAGGGCCGUCACGAAGCGUGAAGGUGCCGUGGCUGCCCUCGACGCUGCACAAUCGCGGUAACUACAUCACGUCUCUCGGUGGCAUGUGCAAGUGGCUUGGCGAGCAGGCCGAGGCGCUCGGGGUGGAGAUCUACCCUGGCUUUGCGGCGGCGGACGUCGUCGUUGACGAGGCGACCGGCGCCGUGACGGGGGUGCAGCUGAAUGACAGGGGCGUCGACAAGAAUGGCAGGAGGACGGCGCAGUACGAGCCCGGCAUGAUCUUCCGCGCAAAGCAGACCAUCUUCGCCGAGGGCUGCCGCGGAUCCUGCACCAAACAGUUGGAGAAGCGCUUUGGGCUGCGCGCCGCCGACAACCCGCAGACGUUCGGGCUCGGCAUCAAGGAGGUGUGGGAGGUGCCCAAGGAGCGGCACCACCCAGGCACCGUCAUGCACACGGUGGGGUGGCCGACGACGGACAAGGGGCACGACAAUACCUACGGCGGCGCCUUCCUCUACCACUACGGCGACGGCCUCAUUUCGUGCGGCUACGUGGUGGGCCUCGACUACUCGAACCCGUACUGCCGGCCGUACAUGGAGAUGCAGAAGUGGAAGACGCAUGAUCUCAUCCGAGGGCAGCUGGAGGGUGGCCGACCGAUCCUGUACGGUGCGCGCACGUUGGUCGAGGGCGGCUUCAGCGCGCUGCCGAAGCUGCACUUCCCCGGCGGCGUGCUGGCGGGGGACUGUGCUGGUUUCUUGAACCUUCCAAAGAUCAAGGGCACGCACACGGCCAUGAAGUCUGGCAUGCUCGCUGCCGAGGCCGUCUACGAGGACGCCUUCAAGGGCGGCAAGGAGGAGGCGACCAGCGGCGUGGAAUGCAAGAGCUACGACGACUGCUUCCGUAGCAGCUGGCUGUACAAGGAGCUCUACACGGUGCGCAACGUGCGGCAGAGCUUCCACAAGAGCUUCAAGUGGGGCAUGCUCUACACCGGCAUUACCUCACUCCUGCUGCACGGCCGCGAGCCGUGGACGCUGAAGCACACCACACCAGACAACUUGUCGCUGAAACCGGCGAAGGAAUGCGUGGAGAUCAAGUACCCGAAGCCUGACGGUACGCUCACCUUCGACCUACUCACUAACCACAGCCGUAGCGGAACGGCCCACAAUGCUGACCAGCCAUGCCAUCUGCGCCUGAAGGACUCCAAGGUUGCGGAGGAGGUGAAUCUGAAGACUUAUGCCGGGCCGGAGGCGCGCUUCUGCCCAGCCGGUGUAUACGAGUUCGUCAACGACAAGCUGGUGAUUAACGCGCAGAAUUGCCUCCACUGCAAGGCGUGCGACAUAAAGGACCCGACGCAGAAUAUCAACUGGACGGUGCCCGAGGGCGGCGGUGGCCCCAACUACCAGGGCCAGAUGUAAAGCCCCUCCCGCCUUUACUGCCUCCCCCUCCACACCCGUAUUUGGUAUCGCAGCACCCCCUCCCUUUUUCUCGCUGUGCGUGCGUAUGCCUGCGAGCAUCCCAUCUUUCCCCUCCCUUCCUCUGCGUCGCCGUCGCCUCUCUGUCCCUCAAAGUGCUUGCAAGUUUUUUUUUUUAUCAGGCUCGUCUCUGCUUGCGUUGCCGUGCGCAUGUAUGAGCGGGUGCGCGCCUGCUCCCUUCUUGCUCUCUCCUCCUUCGCUCUGCUUCGUUGACCCUCUCCCGCUCUUCCCACUCUCCCUGCUUACCACCGCUCUUCUUACGUGGCAGUGGCGAUCGUCGUGAUGACGUUUAGAAGGAGCGCUGGAGAAAGUUGGAGCCGAUAAUCUCAUCGGCUACACACUGCUUUCCUAGCGGUCGGCGACAGAGGUAUGCAUGGAGGGUGUGCGGCUCUUGAGGUGGUGGUGAGGGGCGGGUGCUGAGAAGAGCGAGGUGGGCCUGAGCCAGUAAAGAGAAGGCGGUGGUUCCCUGGUGUAAACCGUUGACGACGCUGUGCCGACCGCAGCGGUGUGUGUGCCGGCGUAUGCGGGCACGUAUGUAUGUGUGCGCUUGUGAACGGGACGGUUGAACGCGCGCACGCGCUCUCCCUCCCCGCCCCUCCCUCAUUUAAGUUUCUUGGACGCCUCUGCAGGUCAUCACAUAGUGCGUCUCCGCGUGUGUCUGUGCGUCUCCGCAUCUCCCCGCUUUUCUCUCUAUCUCUUCCCGUUCUCGUUUCGUGGUUUCAGAGAACCGGAGCAGCGAGGGCGAGAUAAGAGAGAGGGGCGCUGUCUCAGCAAGAGAUCCCCAAGCAAGGGGAAGAG